CGUGUAGAUGGCUUUUUAAGUCAGCUGUGAAAUCUCCUGGCUCAACCGGGAGAGGUCAGUUGAUACUGAGGAGCUUGAGGGCAGCAGAGGAAGAUGGAAUUCCCGGUGUAGUGGUGAAAUGCGUAGAUAUCGGGAGGAACACCAGUGGCGAAGGCGGUCUUCUGGGCUGUUUCUGACAUUGAGGCGCGAAAGCGUGGGGAGUGAAGCGGAUCAGAUACCCGCGUAAUCCACGCUAUAAACGGUGGAUACUAGGUAUGGGGGGUAGUCGACCCUCUCCGUGCCGCAGCUAACGUUUUAAGUAUCCCGCCUGGGGACUACGGCCGCAAGGUUAAA
This 333-nucleotide ribosomal RNA is filed under the name uncultured bacterium. Its description in RNAcentral is "bacterial SSU rRNA". It matches the Rfam family "Bacterial small subunit ribosomal RNA", at positions 568 to 898 of the family's 1533-position model. The record is from RNAcentral.